Molecule: ribosomal RNA, 373 nt
Filed under: uncultured organism
Description: bacterial SSU rRNA
Rfam family: Bacterial small subunit ribosomal RNA
Source: RNAcentral
CGGGGGGAGCAAGCGUUGUUCGGAUUUACUGGGCGUAAAGGGCGCGUAGGCGGCGCAACAAGUCACUUGUGAAAUCUCCGGGCUUAACCCGGAGCGGCCAAGUGAUACUGUCGUGCUAGAGUGCGGAAGGGGCUACUGGAAUUCUCGGUGUAGCGGUGAAAUGCGUAGAUAUCGAGAGGAACACCUGCGGCGAAGGCGGGUAGCUGGGCCGACACUGACGCUGAUGCGCGAAAGCCAGGGGAGCGAACGGGAUUAGAUACCCCGGUAGUCCUGGCCUUAAACGAUGGAUACUUGGUGUCCGGGGUUACAUAGUCCCCGGGUGCCGGCGCUAACGCAUUAAGUAUCCCGCCUGGGGAGUACGGUCGCAAGACUG